Molecule: ribosomal RNA, 305 nt
Filed under: uncultured bacterium
Lineage: Bacteria
Description: bacterial SSU rRNA
Rfam family: Bacterial small subunit ribosomal RNA
Source: RNAcentral
UCCUACGGGAGGCAGCAGUGGGGAAUAUUGGACAAUGGGGGGAACCCUGAUCCAGCGACGCCGCGUGAGUGAAGAAGUAUUUCGGUAUGUAAAGCUCUAUCAGCAGGGAAGAAAAUGACGGUACCUGAAGAAGAAGCCCCGGCUAACUACGUGCCAGCAGCCGCGGUAAUACGUAGGGGGCAAGCGUUAUCCGGAUUUACUGGGUGUAAAGGGGGCGCAGACGGCGAUGCAAGCCAGGAGUGAAAGCCCGGGGCCCAACCCCGGGACUGCUCUUGGAACUGCGUGGCUAGAGUGCAGGAGGGGCG